AUCGGGGAGUUGAUUUCCGUGUGACCUCUGCUGUUCGGAUAGGGAACAAUAUUCGGGACGUGACUGUCCCAAAGGGAAUCGUGCAGGAUUUCGGCACUCUAGGAUCCGCCUUCAGUUGUAGACAUUCCCUCGGCGGACUAGGCAGCGAGAUUUACCACACAUACCACACGGAUAGAGGAAACCCCGGCCACCAGAAGUGACAGAGCAACCCUCUCUAUAUGGUAAGCCGCUGUAUGUAAGAGUCUAUCCCUCGUCCAAAUACUCGAAGUGACCGGCCGAAUCGUAAAAAUUCGCAUGUCCUUUGCACACACAAACACUGGCGCGCACAUACAAAUUUAUCUCCAUUUGACCCUCUUCAAAGUGCUUUUUAUAGUCAUUUAGUGUUUUGGCCCUCC
Long non-coding RNA from Drosophila erecta, 395 nucleotides. RefSeq lists it as uncharacterized. The transcript has 3 exons. NCBI's taxonomy places the organism in Eukaryota, Metazoa, Arthropoda, Insecta, Diptera, Drosophilidae. The record is from RefSeq and is a predicted model, not a curated record.